This 229-nucleotide ribosomal RNA is filed under the name uncultured bacterium. Its description in RNAcentral is "partial 16S ribosomal RNA". It matches the Rfam family "Bacterial small subunit ribosomal RNA", at positions 568 to 796 of the family's 1533-position model. The record is from RNAcentral.
UCCGUAGGUGGAUAAUUAAGUCAGAGGUGAAAUCCUGCAGCUCAACUGUGGAAUUGCCUUUGAUACUGGUUAUCUUGAGUCAUUAUGAAGUGGUUAGAAUGUGUAGUGUAGCGGUGAAAUGCAUAGAUAUUACACAGAAUACCGAUUGCGAAGGCAGAUCACUAAUAAUGUACUGACACUGAGGGACGAAAGCGUGGGGAGCGAACAGGAUUAGAUACCCUGGUAGUCC